Molecule: ribosomal RNA, 253 nt
Filed under: uncultured bacterium
Lineage: Bacteria
Description: partial 16S ribosomal RNA
Rfam family: Archaeal small subunit ribosomal RNA
Source: RNAcentral
UACCAGCACCCCGAGUGGUCGGGACGAUUAUUGGGCCUAAAGCAUCCGUAGCCGGUCAUGCAAGUCUUCCGUUAAAUCCAGCUGCUUAACAGAUGGGCUGCGGAAGAUACUAUGGAGCUAGGAGGCGGGAGAGGCAAGCGGUACUCGAUGGGUAGGGGUAAAAUCCGUUGAUCCAUUGAAGACCACCAGUGGCGAAGGCGGCUUGCCAGAACGCGCUCGACGGUGAGGGAUGAAAGCUGGGGGAGCAAACCGG